UCUGAAAUUCGACUUCAUGAAGCUGGAAUUGCUAGUAAUGGCAGGUCAGCAUACUGCCGUGAAUACGUUCCCGGGCCCUUGUACACACCGCCCGUCACACCAUGAGAGUUGGGAAUACCCGAAGCCUGUGAGCUAACUGUAAAGAGGCAGCAGUCGAAGGUAGAAUCAAUGAUUGGGGUGAAGUCGUAACAAGGUACC
RNAcentral lists this ribosomal RNA (198 nucleotides) under uncultured bacterium. RNAcentral describes it as "partial 16S ribosomal RNA". It matches the Rfam family "Bacterial small subunit ribosomal RNA", at positions 1304 to 1500 of the family's 1533-position model. The record is from RNAcentral.